AGACCCGAAACCCGGUGAUCUAGCCAUGGGCAGGUUGAAGGUUGGGUAACACUAACUGGAGGACCGAACCGACUAAUGUUGAAAAAUUAGCGGAUGACCUGUGGCUGGGGGUGAAAGGCCAAUCAAACCGGGAGAUAGCUGGUUCUCCCCGAAAGCUAUUUAGGUAGCGCCUCGUGAAUUCAUCUCCGGGGGUAGAGCACUGUUUCGGCCAGGGGGCCAUCCCGGCUUACCAAUCCGAUGCAAACUGCGAAUACCGGAGAAUGUUAUCACGGGAGACACACGGCGGGUGCUAACGUCCGUCGUGAAGAGGGAAACAACCCAGACCGCCAGCUAAGGUCCCAAAGUCAUGGUUAAGUGGGAAACGAUGUGGGAAGGCCCAGACAGCCAGGAUGUUGGCUUAGAAGCAGCCAUCAUUUAAAGAAAGCGUAAUAGCUCACUGGUCGAGUCGGCCUGCGCGGAAGAUGUAACGGGGCUAAACCAUGCACCGAAGCUGCGGCAGCGAACGUAUCACCCAAGACAACUUUACACAGUUGACGACUGACGGAGCGAAGCGACGUCAAAGCGUUUUACAACGUCGAGUUGGCUUAGGGAUACGUUCGUUGGGUAGGGGAGCGUUCUGUAAGCCGUUGAAGGUGUGUCGUGAGGCAUGCUGGAGGUAUCAGAAGUGCGAAUGCUGACAUAAGUAACGAUAAAGCGGGUGAAAAGCCCGCUCGCCGGAAGACCAAGGGUUCCUGUCC
RNAcentral lists this ribosomal RNA (737 nucleotides) under Salmonella enterica. RNAcentral's name for it is "partial 23S ribosomal RNA". It matches the Rfam family "Bacterial large subunit ribosomal RNA", at positions 711 to 1360 of the family's 2925-position model. Lineage: Bacteria; Pseudomonadati; Pseudomonadota; Gammaproteobacteria; Enterobacterales; Enterobacteriaceae. The record is from RNAcentral.